GGUGUUAUGAUGAGAUGAAGCACUUGAGCGUGUUUGGGCAGUGGACGGAACCACAAGGUUUCGCCGUGAGCCUCCAAUUUUAACGACUUCUCCUUCCACUGAGCACC
Molecule: small nucleolar RNA, 107 nt
Filed under: Phaseolus vulgaris (common bean)
Lineage: Eukaryota; Viridiplantae; Streptophyta; Magnoliopsida; Fabales; Fabaceae
Description: snoRNA snoZ152
Rfam family: Small nucleolar RNA Z152/R70/R12/
About the family: Z152 is a member of the C/D class of snoRNA which contain the C (UGAUGA) and D (CUGA) box motifs.
Source: Rfam by way of RNAcentral